AGUCGAGCGGAACGAGUUAUCUGAACCUUCGGGGAACGAUAACGGCGUCGAGCGGCGGACGGGUGAGUAAUGCCUAGGAAAUUGCCCUGAUGUGGGGGAUAACCAUUGGAAACGAUGGCUAAUACCGCAUGAUGCCUACGGGCCAAAGAGGGGGACCUUCGGGCCUCUCGCGUCAGGAUAUGCCUAGGUGGGAUUAGCUAGUUGGUGAGGUAAGGGCUCACCAAGGCGACGAUCCCUAGCUGGUCUGAGAGGAUGAUCAGCCACACUGGAACUGAGACACGGUCCAGACUCCUACGGGAGGCAGCAGUGGGGAAUAUUGCACAAUGGGCGCAAGCCUGAUGCAGCCAUGCCGCGUGUGUGAAGAAGGCCUUCGGGUUGUAAAGCACUUUCAGUCGUGAGGAAGGUGGUGUAGUUAAUAGCUGCAUCAUUUGACGUUAGCGACAGAAGAAGCACCGGCUAACUCCGUGCCAGCAGC
RNAcentral lists this ribosomal RNA (475 nucleotides) under bacterium 2611-S6-09-1. Its description in RNAcentral is "bacterial SSU rRNA". It matches the Rfam family "Bacterial small subunit ribosomal RNA", at positions 60 to 515 of the family's 1533-position model. The record is from RNAcentral.